RNAcentral lists this transfer RNA (74 nucleotides) under Wolbachia endosymbiont of Litomosoides sigmodontis. Its description in RNAcentral is "tRNA-Arg". It matches the Rfam family "tRNA". From Rfam's summary of the family: Transfer RNA (tRNA) molecules are approximately 80 nucleotides in length. The record is from RNAcentral. Lineage: Bacteria; Pseudomonadati; Pseudomonadota; Alphaproteobacteria; Rickettsiales; Anaplasmataceae.
GCGCUUGUAGCUCAGCUGGAUAGAGCGUUGCCCUCCGGAGGUAAAGGUCGUGGGUUCGAAUCCCCUCAAGCGCA